AACUUUGCCAAGUCGCCCCUCUUUCCGGGGGCGGGGGGCACAGCUGGGGGGCUGAACUAGCCAACAGGGAAAGGGAGUGGGUGCCCGGCCUCCCCAGCGGUGUGGGUCUGCUGGAGACACCCAACGUAUUGAAGCAGGACCUCCAGACGGGGCGAGGGGAGGGGAGCAGGAGAUGGGGAAAGAGGCAGAUAAGAAUAUCCAAGGGGUUAAACAGAUAUGGUUCCGUCGACUGCAUUCAGGACCCCAGUAGGAAGCCUGUCUCUGAGCUGUUGGGAGAUCUGCCCCCCCAACAUCCCCAGCCCUAGUCCAAGGGCGCUCUCCACUCCCCAAGUGUGAAAAACCACACCCCAUUGCAUGCUGUGGCCAGAUCUUUGCGCAGACUCAGAAAACAAACCAGGGUCUGUGGGCAAGAGAGAAACCGCAAACUUGUAGCAAAACAAACGAGAGGUUCCAAUUCAAGCUUACGAAUUUUGUGUAUCCCUGCCAAGUUGGAGAAAAUAUCAGAUACAAGCAGGACCGAUAAAAAACGUCUCCCGUGUGAUACCGCUACUAAGCAUUUGUGGAGUGACCGCCACUUCAAAUGCUAAAACAGCCGUGCGAAACUCCAAGGAAUCAAGGACACAUGUCCUCACCAAAAGAUGAGGGCCGCCGUCCAGUAAUGGAACUCAGACUCGGAAUUUUGCCGUGUAGUUGACCAAGAUUUCAAAAUCGCUGCACUGAGGAAACUCAUCGACUCAUGAGAAAAGAGGAACAAUACGAGAACAGAAAGGGAGAUUUAGCAAAGAGAUAGAAAUCACACGAAAGAGCCAAAGAGAAAUUCUGGACUCGGGGGAUUCAGUUAAUGAAUAAAAUUAAUAGAAGGCACUGGACAGCAUCCACCGCAGAACAGAACAAUUCGAGUUCCAGAAAAAGGAGAGAGAGAGAGAGACAGAGAAGGGGUCAAAAGCUUAUGUAAAGAAAUGAUAACUGAGAACUUCUUACACCCAGGGGGCUAGUUGGACAUCCAAAUUCAAGACUAUUACCACACUGAUAGGAAAAAGAUGCUGGCAAGAAUGAUCUGUCUGGGAAAUUGUUCUGGAGUUAUGAAGGACAGAUAAAAACUUUGGUUUCUUUACUUGCCUUUGUUUUGUUUUGUUUUGUUUUGUUUUGUUUUGUUUUGUUGGUAGUGUCUUCAUCUGAUUUUGGGAUCUCAGUGUCAGGACGACACAGUGUCUUCGUCUGACUUCAGCAUCAGGAUAACACUGGCCUUAAAGAAUGAGUUUGAGAAUGCCCCCUGCCCCGAUCCACCCUUCCACUUUUGGGGCCGAGUUUGAGAAGGAUUGGCAUUCAUUCUUCUUUGGAUGUUCAGUAAAGAACUGGAAUUUGCCAGUAAAGCCAUCUGGUGACCUGGGAUUUCCUGUGUUGACGGGUCUUCAAUGACCCAUUCAGGCUCCUCGCUUGUUAUUGAUGCAUUCACGACUAUAAACUCCGCUCUCUGAGAUGUGUUUGCAGCAGCCCAUGCCUCGGUUUUGCGCCUGUAGCCGCUGGAAGGAACGCAGCCCUGCUGACCCCUUCAUGCAGCCCAUGGGACUGUGUCACACUGCGGGGCCAGAGAACUGCAUGGGCGUGAAUGCACAGUUUGCAGCACGGCCUUCGUGGUAGCUUCUUACAGGAGCAGCAGGAACCAACCGGAAAAGCAGAAAGCAGGGUAGACAGCGCUCGCUCUAACGGGCUAACUUCCUUCUGAGAAAGGAGCUAAGGAACACGAUGUGUCUGCUGACUUAUCUUCCCACAGAUGACUUGUUCGUUCUGAAAACCAGAAACCAACAAAAA
This is a long non-coding RNA of Ailuropoda melanoleuca (giant panda), 1812 nucleotides long. RefSeq lists it as uncharacterized. The transcript is spliced from 3 exons. NCBI's taxonomy places the organism in Eukaryota, Metazoa, Chordata, Mammalia, Carnivora, Ursidae. The record is from RefSeq and is a predicted model, not a curated record.